GCUAGGCUUAACCCAUUGUUUUAUAAACAUAGCAGUUUCAGAGAAACUGCCGGGAGAUGGAAUAUGACGUAAUUCAGGCCCCAGCAUACUAAACAGUGGGCGGGAGGAGUGAGGAGCUACCCCACACUGGACCCCAGGGAGUUUAGUGUUUGACUGUGAGUGUGUUAGUGAGUGUCUGCCUGUGUGUGUGUGUGUGUGUGUGUCAGUGAGUGU
Molecule: non-coding RNA, 213 nt
Organism: Pelobates cultripes (western spadefoot toad)
Lineage: Eukaryota; Metazoa; Chordata; Amphibia; Anura; Pelobatidae
Source: the annotation of a GenBank genome assembly